GUCGUGAGUUCCAGAGGUAGAGCAACGGACUUCUAAUCCGUUGGUCACCGGCUCAAAUCCCGUACGGC
RNAcentral lists this transfer RNA (68 nucleotides) under Paraburkholderia sp. RAU2J. RNAcentral's name for it is "tRNA-Arg". It matches the Rfam family "tRNA". From Rfam's summary of the family: Transfer RNA (tRNA) molecules are approximately 80 nucleotides in length. Their secondary structure includes four short double-helical elements and three loops (D, anti-codon, and T loops). The record is from RNAcentral. Lineage: Bacteria; Pseudomonadati; Pseudomonadota; Betaproteobacteria; Burkholderiales; Burkholderiaceae.